ACAAUGGGCGCAAGCCUGAUCCAGCCAUACCGCGUGGGUGAAGAAGGCCUUCGGGUUGUAAAGCCCUUUUGUUGGGAAAGAAAUCCAGCUGGCUAAUACCCGGUUGGGAUGACGGUACCCAAAGAAUAAGCACCGGCUAACUUCGUGCCAGCAGCCGCGGUAAUACGAAGGGUGCAAGCGUUACUCGGAAUUACUGGGCGUAAAGCGUGCGUAGGUGGUCGUUUAAGUCCGUUGUGAAAGCCCUGGGCUCAACCUGGGAACUGCAGUGGAUACUGGGCGACUAGAGUGUGGUAGAGGGUAGCGGAAUUCCUGGUGUAGCAGUGAAAUGCGUAGAGAUCAGGAGGAACAUCCAUGGCGAAGGCAGCUACCUGGACCAACACUGACACUGAGGCACGAAAGCGUGGGGAGCAAACAGGAUUAGAUACCCUGGUAGUCCACGCCCUAAACGAUGCGAACUGGAUGUUGGGUGCAAUUUGGCACGCAGUAUCGAAGCUAACGCGUUAAGUUCGCCGCCUGGGGAGUACGGUCGCAAGACUGAAACUCAAAGGAAUUGACGGGGGCCCGCACAAGCGGUGGAGUAUGUGGUUUAAUUCGAUGCAACGCGAAGAACCUUACCUGGCCUUGACAUGUCGAGAACUUUCCAGAGAUGGAUUGGUGC
RNAcentral lists this ribosomal RNA (658 nucleotides) under Salmonella enterica subsp. enterica serovar Kentucky. RNAcentral's name for it is "bacterial SSU rRNA". It matches the Rfam family "Bacterial small subunit ribosomal RNA", at positions 368 to 1017 of the family's 1533-position model. The record is from RNAcentral. Lineage: Bacteria; Pseudomonadati; Pseudomonadota; Gammaproteobacteria; Enterobacterales; Enterobacteriaceae.